This 497-nucleotide ribosomal RNA is filed under the name uncultured bacterium. Its description in RNAcentral is "partial 16S ribosomal RNA". It matches the Rfam family "Bacterial small subunit ribosomal RNA", at positions 28 to 507 of the family's 1533-position model. The record is from RNAcentral.
GAUGAACGCUGGCGGCGUGCCUAAUACAUGCAAGUCGAGCGAACAGACGAGGAGCUUGCUCCUCUGACGUUAGCGGCGGACGGGUGAGUAACACGUGGAUAACCUACCUAUAAGACUGGGAUAACUUCGGGAAACCGGAGCUAAUACCGGAUAACAUGUUGAACCGCAUGGUUCAACAGUGAAAGACGGUCUUGCUGUCACUUAUAGAUGGAUCCGCGCCGCAUUAGCUAGUUGGUAAGGUAACGGCUUACCAAGGCAACGAUGCGUAGCCGACCUGAGGGGGUGAUCGGCCACACUGGAACUGAGACACGGUCCAGACUCCUACGGGAGGCAGCAGUAGGGAAUCUUCCGCAAUGGGCGAAAGCCUGACGGAGCAACGCCGCGUGAGUGAUGAAGGUCUUCGGAUCGUAAAACUCUGUUAUUAGGGAAGAACAAAUGUGUAAGUAACUAUGCACGUCUUGACGGUACCUAAUCAGAAAGCCACGGCUAACUACGUG